GACUUUGCUAGAGGACUUGCAGCACACGUUAAUCUACGGAAAGCAGAUUCUCUACCUUUCAGUCCCCAUGAAGGGAGACUUGCUGAACCCAUGCACUACAGCAAAUAUCCAGCUAGCAAAGGAAGGCAAGCUCAAAGUUAAUCUACCAUGGUUGAAAAAUAAGAAGGAGGAGGAGGAUAUCAACUGCCAUCUUUUGACAGGAUCAUCAGAGCAUUAUGCUCUGUAUGACAGAUUUCAUGAAUUUAACACCAAAGACCCAAGAGAUGCUCUUAGGAGAAUCCAAGUAUUCCCAGAACUCUGUGGAUGGGUAAAUACUCAAACCGCAGAGCAACUUUUUGGUUCAAUGCGCAAGAACAAUUAUUUCUUGAACAUGCUCACGCCAUCUGGACACACAUUUUUGAUGCGCAACAUCAUUCACCAUUAUAACACAGCACAGAAUAAGAACAUGGAGGACAGCCUAAGAAAAAUUGUAUCACCAAGUGAUCAGUUAACCUUCAAUGGUUAUGGUCAGAUAGUACUGGGUACACCUCCACAGUCCCUAAAUGAUAGUGAAAGACACACCUGUGAUAUUACACAAAUAGACCAAGUACACUGCCCCAGCCAAGGUUCAGUGAUUGACAUGACAGCCCUACGAAAUGUGCAGCCAAACAGGGCAUGCUGGAUGCAUCCACAAAGCAGUGACCAAAUAAAGAUGGUAUGUUGAAUUUUUUGCAUUUUUAUGCAAAGUGUAUAAUCAUACUUACACUUUUUUUUUUUAGUUUUUCUAGAUAGAUAAUGCUUUAAAUGAAAAGGAAUCACGACAACAAUUUUUGGCUCAAGUAGGAGCAACAAUUCUGAACAGAUCAGAUUUUAUUACCUUGGGACAUCCAAAUGAUGUUGAAGGGACUAUUUUGAAUGCCUGCCUUUCAAUGGUCAGAGAUAUUGCUGAUUUAAAGGC
Carassius auratus (goldfish) is the source of this 937-nucleotide long non-coding RNA. RefSeq lists it as uncharacterized. Lineage: Eukaryota; Metazoa; Chordata; Actinopteri; Cypriniformes; Cyprinidae. The transcript has 4 exons. The record is from RefSeq and is a predicted model, not a curated record.